CGAAGCUUGAGCUGAGGAGAGUCCGGAUAUGCCCUCCGAUCAUCCAUCCCUCGCCAGAAAAGCCAUAAACCGCGGCUGCCAUCCAUUUUCUCUCUCCACUGCGAACUCCGGCCACCAAAAAUAGUGGCUACCGACGCCGGAAAUGCCAUGAACAGCGCCGGACAGCCACUGUAUCAUCUUUAUCCCUUUUUUUUCUCUCUUCGCGCUGUCGCCGCCACGAACUGGAGCUGCUGCCGACGAACGGCAGCUGCCCUCUCUCCCUCAUUCCUCUUCUUUUCCC
RNAcentral lists this long non-coding RNA (280 nucleotides) under Ricinus communis (castor bean). RNAcentral describes it as "long non-coding RNA (RCOM_LNC001371)". Lineage: Eukaryota; Viridiplantae; Streptophyta; Magnoliopsida; Malpighiales; Euphorbiaceae. The record is from RNAcentral.